CGAAACCUAGUCUCGGUAGUGUGUAUGCUCUAUUUAUUAGGCUAAGGGAUGGUCUCUGGUCCAUGAUGGACUUGAGAUACUUAUCACGGUCAGGACUUGAUUUGGGUCAUGACACCCCAUUAUUUCUAAACCACCUCUAGCUGCCUUCCAGUCAAAAAAACAUACCAGUUCGUCGCCUCCAAAUCCCUCUCUUUCUCUCUUCUUAUUUCCUUGUGCCUAUGAAAACCAGUUACCAUCUGUUGUCAUCGUUGCCUUGCCAGAAGUAAAGAUCGGGGAGAUGACAUCUUUUUUCCGUUAUCACCUUUGACGAGAAAUAAAAUCCUAGUGCUUUGAUGGAAUCGUGAACAAGGGCUCCAGAUUCAACAAACCCACGACUCUACCAACGAUAACACUCUAUCACCAAUGAACUCUCCCAGCCAAUGCUACUAUUCUCCUCCCUGUUCUCUCGUUCAUUGCCUCUUUGUCAUCGCAUCCUCAUCGAAGUUCCAUGAAACCCACAAAGAUUAUUGCCUGAUUUUAUUUAUUUAUGCCUUAAAUUUCAAUUUUUGUUUGUUUUGCUUAUAAACUACCCGAAUCAAAUUCUUAGAUUUAAAAAUUAUGAUGCUUAGCUUUGAAUUUUGAUUCAAUUUCAUAUUUGUUAAUACCAUUAGAUUGAUAUAUGUUAAAAGCGCCAUUUUUUUUCAAUCUUGGCUAAACCAUAGUUUUUGAAUUGGAUACUAAUUUCAUUCAAUUUUUGAAAACCUUUGUUCUUACUUGUUGAUUGAUUGUUUCAAUUGGUGUUUUGCGAUCCUGGGCAGCCUGUUGCCAAAAUAUGAUCACUUGAAUGUUUAUUAUGCCAUUAUUUUUUUGGUGAAAGGGAAACUUCUAUCUAUAAACUAUGUAGCAGUAGGAUUAUAGUAGAGAUUGUAAUAUUGAGUUACCCAAAUUAGCUAGUCUAUUACAAACAUGAAAAAAAAACGUUUUACAAGUACUGUGUUCUUCUCUAUCUUGUUGAAAAAUAGUGAACACCCAUAGGGGAGGGUACAAAAACACUUGAAAAUUUGUUGCCACUAAGUUGUGUGCUCCUUGUUGAGACAAAACAUAUGCUACUUCAUUUCCCUCUCUAUUGUUAUGCCUAAGCAGUGGAUCUCCAACCUCGUUAACCAGUACCUGCAUUGAUCAAUUAAAUUAGUAUAAGGAGAUGAUUGUUCUGAAGAAGUUGCAGAACAUAAGUGGAUUCUGUUUCAAUUUCUAAUGGAAAACAGUGAUGCUCAAAGGCAAAAGUAAUGCCUUGAAAGAGAGCUUUAAGUUUCCACUUCAGAGGGGUUAAGGGCAUUUAUGGCUAGGUAUAAGCCUACCACCAUUUCUCCUUUAUCAUAUUGUAUGACUCCACCAAUGCCACCUUGAUGAGUAGAGGGUUUGAAAGUACCAUCUGUGUUAAGUUUGAAAAACCCAACCGGUGGGAGAACUAUUUGAUAAGGAUUUAUUUAAAAGGUAGGUAUAUCUAGGAAGGUGUUUAGAGUGUAGGUAUAGUUUAUCACUCAAGAGUUUAUAAAAUAAGGAGAGAUGAGGUUGUGCUAGUUAUGGUUAUAUUAUGGUUUCGAUUGAGCCAUGUAUGACACAAGGCAAAAGGGUAGAAAAUAUCCCAUUGGAGGAUAUGAUUUGGCAAGAGUAAUAUUUACUUUCGAAAUAGCAAUGAGCCAGAGUGGAUGGGAAUUGAAUUGAAAGAAGUUUGUGGGAUUUUGGCUACUGGAUAGGCGAAAAAGAUCUGGAAGGCAUCUUCAAUGCCGUUUCAGCAAAUAGGGCACUGGUUUGUAUCACUAACAUUGAUUUUAUGUAGAUAUUCCUUGCUGGGAGGCGAUUAUGGAGAGUUUGCCAAAGGAAGAAUUUGAUCUUUUGAAAAGUAUUAAGUUUCCAAAUUUAGUGAAAAUCUAUUAUGAAGGGAAUAAGAUUCCAAAGAAUUAUAUAAGUGGAAACAGUGGAAAAAAUACCAUGAUGAUUAAGGAAUAGAUGGG
Molecule: long non-coding RNA, 1994 nt
Filed under: Capsicum annuum
Lineage: Eukaryota; Viridiplantae; Streptophyta; Magnoliopsida; Solanales; Solanaceae
Description: long non-coding RNA (CANN_LNC004758)
Source: RNAcentral